This 473-nucleotide ribosomal RNA is filed under the name Escherichia coli. RNAcentral describes it as "bacterial SSU rRNA". It matches the Rfam family "Bacterial small subunit ribosomal RNA", at positions 1 to 470 of the family's 1533-position model. Lineage: Bacteria; Pseudomonadati; Pseudomonadota; Gammaproteobacteria; Enterobacterales; Enterobacteriaceae. The record is from RNAcentral.
AAAUUGAAGAGUUUGAUCAUGGCUCAGAUUGAACGCUGGCGGCAGGCCUAACACAUGCAAGUCGAACGGUAACAGGAAGCAGCUUGCUGCUUUGCUGACGAGUGGCGGACGGGUGAGUAAUGUCUGGGAAACUGCCUGAUGGAGGGGGAUAACUACUGGAAACGGUAGCUAAUACCGCAUAACGUCGCAAGACCAAAGAGGGGGACCUUCGGGCCUCUUACCAUCGGAUGUGCCCAGAUGGGAUUAGCUUGUUGGUGGGGUAACGGCUCACCAAGGCGACGAUCCCUAGCUGGUCUGAGAGGAUGACCAGCCACACUGGAACUGAGACACGGUCCAGACUCCUACGGGAGGCAGCAGUGGGGAAUAUUGCACAAUGGGCGCAAGCCUGAUGCAGCCAUGCCGCGUGUAUGAAGAAGGCCUUCGGGUUGUAAAGUACUUUCAGCGGGGAGGAAGGGAGUAAAGUUAAUACCUUU